This is a long non-coding RNA of Pseudoliparis swirei, 106 nucleotides long. RefSeq lists it as uncharacterized. The record is from RefSeq and is a predicted model, not a curated record. Lineage: Eukaryota; Metazoa; Chordata; Actinopteri; Perciformes; Liparidae. The transcript is spliced from 2 exons.
CUUCAUUAGUCUUGUAAUCCAGUGGAAUCUGCAUACAUCUUGUACCUUUUGAUAGCAUCGUUGUUUUACACUUUCCUAUGUCAAUAAACCUGUGGACAACGGACAA